RNAcentral lists this ribosomal RNA (467 nucleotides) under uncultured bacterium. RNAcentral's name for it is "partial 16S ribosomal RNA". It matches the Rfam family "Bacterial small subunit ribosomal RNA", at positions 28 to 507 of the family's 1533-position model. The record is from RNAcentral.
GACGAACGCUGGCGGCGUGCUUAACACAUGCAAGUCGAACGGAAAGGCCCUGCUUUUGUGGGGUGCUCGAGUGGCGAACGGGUGAGUAACACGUGAGUAACCUGCCCUUGACUUUGGGAUAACUUCAGGAAACUGGGGCUAAUACCGGAUAGGAGCUCCUGCUGCAUGGUGGGGGUGGGAAGGUUCGGCGGUUGGGGAUGGACUCGCGGCUUAUCAGCUUGGUGGUGGGGUAGUGGCUUACCAAGGCUUUGACGGGUAGCCGGCCUGAGAGGGUGACCGGCCACAUUGGGACUGAGAUACGGCCCAGACUCCUACGGGAGGCAGCAGUGGGGAAUAUUGCACAAUGGGCGGAAGCCUGAUGCAGCAACGCCGCGUGCGGGAUGACGGCCUUCGGGUUGUAAACCGCUUUCGCCUGUGACGAAGCGUGAGUGACGGUAAUGGGUAAAGAAGCACCGGCUAACUACGUG